This 703-nucleotide ribosomal RNA is filed under the name uncultured Nitrospira sp. RNAcentral's name for it is "bacterial SSU rRNA". It matches the Rfam family "Bacterial small subunit ribosomal RNA", at positions 15 to 710 of the family's 1533-position model. The record is from RNAcentral. Lineage: Bacteria; Pseudomonadati; Nitrospirota; Nitrospiria; Nitrospirales; Nitrospiraceae.
GAUCCUGGCUCAGAAUGAACGCUGGCGGCGCGCCUAAUACAUGCAAGUCGAGCGAGAAGACGUAGCAAUACGUUUGUAAAGCGGCGAACGGGUGAGGAAUACAUGGGUAACCUACCCUCGAGUGGGGAAUAACUAGCCGAAAGGUUAGCUAAUACCGCGUACGCUCCUUGGACUUCGGUUCAGGGAGGAAAGCGAUACCGUGGGUAUCGCGCUCUUGGAUGGGCUCAUGUCCUAUCAGCUUGUUGGUGAGGUAACGGCUCACCAAGGCUUCGACGGGUAGCUGGUCUGAGAGGACGAUCAGCCACACUGGCACUGCGACACGGGCCAGACUCCUACGGGAGGCAGCAGUAAGGAAUAUUGCGCAAUAGGCGAAAGCCUGACGCAGCGACGCCGCGUGGGGGAUGAAGGUCUUCGGAUUGUAAACCCCUUUCGGGAGGGAAGAUGGAAUGGGGUAACCCAUUCGGACGGUACCUCCAGAAGCAGCCACGGCUAACUUCGUGCCAGCAGCCGCGGUAAUACGAAGGUGGCAAGCGUUAUUCGGAUUUACUGGGCGUACAGGGAGCGUAGGCGGUUCGGUAAGCCCUUUGUGAAAUCUUCAGGCUUAACCUGGAAAAGUCGGAGGGGACUGCCGGGCUAGAGGACGGGAGAGGAGCGCGGAAUUCCCGGUGUAGCGGUGAAAUGCGUAGAGAUCGGGAAGAAGGCC